This 468-nucleotide ribosomal RNA is filed under the name uncultured bacterium. Its description in RNAcentral is "partial 16S ribosomal RNA". It matches the Rfam family "Bacterial small subunit ribosomal RNA", at positions 28 to 507 of the family's 1533-position model. The record is from RNAcentral.
GACGAACGCUGGCGGCGUGCUUAACACAUGCAAGUCGAACGGAAAGGCCCUGCUUUUGUGGGGUGCUCGAGUGGCGAACGGGUGAGUAACACGUGAGUAACCUGCCCUUGACUUUGGGAUAACUUCAGGAAACUGGGGCUAAUACCGGAUAGGAGCUCCUGCUGCAUGGUGGGGGUUGGAAAGUUUCGGCGGUUGGGGAUGGACUCGCGGCUUAUCAGCUUGUUGGUGGGGUAGUGGCUUACCAAGGCUUUGACGGGUAGCCGGCCUGAGAGGGUGACCGGCCACAUUGGGACUGAGAUACGGCCCAGACUCCUACGGGAGGCAGCAGUGGGGAAUAUUGCACAAUGGGCGGAAGCCCGAUGCAGCAACGCCGCGUGCGGGAUGACGACCUUCGGGUUGUAAACCGCUUUCGCCUGUGACGAAGCGUGAGUGACGGUAAUGGGUAAAGAAGCACCGGCUAACUACGUG